Non-coding RNA from Schizosaccharomyces pombe (fission yeast), 602 nucleotides. The record is from the annotation of a GenBank genome assembly. Lineage: Eukaryota; Fungi; Ascomycota; Schizosaccharomycetes; Schizosaccharomycetales; Schizosaccharomycetaceae.
UUAUACCAACUAAUUCCAGACCAAUGCAAAUUACUCAUGUGGGAUUCCUUUAAUACUUACCAUUUCCCCUCGAGUCCUUUGGAAGUUUAGAACGGCAAAGAGGGCAAGCCCGACUUUGACAGGGUAUAUCAUUUCGUAAAUAUUGCUCACGAACAACUUUUUGAACCUUCCCCCUGGUUGCACGAACAAAUACUCUAUCUCUGUGAUUCUUCUCGGAGCUUUGAGGCCUCUUCAAUCCUGAAACAGUGCUCAUCCUGUAAAUCUUCAGAACACUGAAGAUUGCUUUACUAGAAAAGUUUUAGACCCUGGAAAAGCUACUAUCACUUACGGCAUUCACAACACAACACUACACGUUAUUAUUUUAACGCAGGAUAAAAACUUCUCAUAUUUCACACACCGAGAACAGACUGGGUCUCGUAAUAUUUGUAAAUAGAGCAAAAUUGCAGACAAAACUGAGUAUUUGAAGGUUUUUUCUUUAAAACAAAACGCAGUUAUUUAAAUUUCAUUAAAGAUUAAGAAAAAAUAUACCUUUUAAGGUUAAUUUUUUGGUUUCCAGUCCACUACUUAAUCUAACGUACAAGUUAUAAAUAUGUUUGUAAUAU